RNAcentral lists this ribosomal RNA (465 nucleotides) under uncultured bacterium. Its description in RNAcentral is "partial 16S ribosomal RNA". It matches the Rfam family "Bacterial small subunit ribosomal RNA", at positions 28 to 507 of the family's 1533-position model. The record is from RNAcentral.
GACGAACGCUGGCGGCGUGCUUAACACAUGCAAGUCGAACGGAAAGGCCCUGCUUGCAGGGUACUCGAGUGGCGAACGGGUGAGUAACACGUGGGUGAUCUGCCCUGCACUUCGGGAUAAGCCUGGGAAACUGGGUCUAAUACCGGAUAGGAGCCAUUUUUAGUGUGAUGGUUGGAAAGUUUUUUCGGUGUAGGAUGAGCUCGCGGCCUAUCAGCUUGUUGGUGGGGUAAUGGCCUACCAAGGCGGCGACGGGUAGCCGGCCUGAGAGGGUGGACGGCCACAUUGGGACUGAGAUACGGCCCAGACUCCUACGGGAGGCAGCAGUGGGGAAGAUUGCACGAUGGGCGCAAGCCUGAUGCAGCGACGCCGCGUGGGGGAUGACGGCCUUCGGGUUGUAAACUCCAUUCGCUAGGGACGAAGCUUUUUGUGACGGUACCUAGAUAAGAAGCACCGGCUAACUACGUG